AUUUCAGGUAUACAAGGCACGGGACAAAAGAGUCUGCUGUCGGUCUAUGGGUAUUGUCCCCUUAUGACCUUCCCCCUCCCCAAGCUGUUGUAGUUUCGCUUUUAGGGUGCGAUGCGCACGUUGCA
Athene cunicularia (burrowing owl) is the source of this 125-nucleotide long non-coding RNA. RefSeq lists it as uncharacterized. Lineage: Eukaryota; Metazoa; Chordata; Aves; Strigiformes; Strigidae. The record is from RefSeq and is a predicted model, not a curated record. The transcript has 3 exons.